Molecule: long non-coding RNA, 914 nt
Organism: Spodoptera litura
Lineage: Eukaryota; Metazoa; Arthropoda; Insecta; Lepidoptera; Noctuidae
Source: RefSeq, a predicted model, not a curated record
CACUCGCGUUGGAUGCGUGCCUUCUUCUUGUGACGACGAUCGACGCGCGAACACGUAUCGUCAAUUGUUUUUUUUUUAUAACAUCUUGGAACUCAUACGAGUUCAGCGCUCCCUAAGCGGUUUUGGAACUUCUUAUAAGAUUUCCAAGUUCCAACAUUAUCAUAAAAUAUUUUAACAAUUUAUCAUUUAAAACUUCAAACAUUUAGUGCGGCUACCAUAGUGAUUGGAAUAAUGAAGAAAGACAUUUUCAUUUUAAAUGAAAAUUUUUUGAAGUUUUUUUUAAUAGAAAAUUUCAAUGAAAAUAGAAGAACUUUACAUAAUAUUGUGGAUUAAAAAAAUACGAAGUGACGAUUAGUGGUACAGUGUCAAUGGAGCAUCAGGCGCAAAAUAAAAUAGUGCCAACGAGAAAAAUAAAAAUAAAAUUUAGAUUUUUUCAACGUCAACACUAAUAGAUGUAUUGUGCCAGCUAUUUACCUCAAGGACAAACAUAUAUUGCAAAAGAUGUGUCGGAAACACGAGAUCGAAAAAAAAGAAAAAAAAGAAUACCACAGAGGCGGCCAACCUGUUGUGUGCACGGGAGACAUUUGGUCUGUACGUAAAAUGCGGGUGUAACGACUCUUAAAUUGUGAGUUAUUUUUAAGGUUUUGCUUAUAACAAAAAUGCAUAAAUUAUCUGGCCACAUGCCAGAUUCCUUGUAUGGUUGUGAGAAAAACAAGGCAAUUUUGAUAUUUGCUUUUUAUAUGAAGAUGUGGAGAAAGAAAUUCCACUUUAUAAGACGCCCCCGAUAUCCGUUAUGCAUAUCGGCCUUAUACGGGCCCUAGAAGAGUGUCGGCCGUCGCAUUGUCUUUCUGUCCGUCAUGAGUGAGUCACGCCAUUGUUGGGUUACACAAUAGAUGUCUUUGUGCAUUGUGCCC